RNAcentral lists this ribosomal RNA (487 nucleotides) under uncultured bacterium. RNAcentral describes it as "partial 16S ribosomal RNA". It matches the Rfam family "Bacterial small subunit ribosomal RNA", at positions 28 to 507 of the family's 1533-position model. The record is from RNAcentral.
GAUGAACGCUAGCGAUAGGCUUAACACAUGCAAGUCGAGGGGCAGCACAAGGUAGCUUGCUAUCUGGGUGGCGACCGGCGCACGGGUGCGUAACGCGUAUGCAACUUGCCCUAUACAGGAGGAUAACCCGUCGAAAGACGGACUAAUACUGCGUAUGCUCACAACUUGGCAUCAAGUGGUGAGGAAAGAAAUUCGGUAUAGGAUAGGCAUGCGUCCCAUUAGCUUGUUGGUGAGGUAACGGCUCACCAAGGCAACGAUGGGUAGGGGAACUGAGAGGUUUAUCCCCCACACUGGUACUGAGACACGGACCAGACUCCUACGGGAGGCAGCAGUGAGGAAUAUUGGUCAAUGGGCGCGAGCCUGAACCAGCCAAGUCGCGUGAAGGAUGACUGUCUUAUGGAUUGUAAACUUCUUUUAGACGGGAAUAACAAGAGUCACGUGUGACUCCCUGCAUGUACCGUAUGAAUAGGCAUCGGCUAACUCCGUG